GAUGAACGCUGGCGGCGUGCCUAAUACAUGCAAGUCGAGCGAACAGACGAGGAGCUUGCUCCUCUGACGUUAGCGGCGGACGGGUGAGUAACACGUGGAUAACCUACCUAUAAGACUGGGAUAACUUCGGGAAACCGGAGCUAAUACCGGAUAAUAUAUUGAACCGCAUGGUUCAAUAGUGAAAGACGGUUUUGCUGUCACUUAUAGAUGGAUCCGCGCCGCAUUAGCUAGUUGGUAAGGUAACGGCUUACCAAGGCAGCGAUGCGUAGCCGACCUGAGAGGGUGAUCGGCCACACUGGAACUGAGACACGGUCCAGACUCCUACGGGAGGCAGCAGUAGGGAAUCUUCCGCAAUGGGCGAAAGCCUGACGGAGCAACGCCGCGUGAGUGAUGAAGGUCUUCGGAUCGUAAAACUCUGUUAUUAGGGAAGAACAAAUGUGUAAAUAACUAUGCACGUCUUGACGGUACCUAAUCAGAAAGCCACGGCUAACUACGUG
This 497-nucleotide ribosomal RNA is filed under the name uncultured bacterium. RNAcentral's name for it is "partial 16S ribosomal RNA". It matches the Rfam family "Bacterial small subunit ribosomal RNA", at positions 28 to 507 of the family's 1533-position model. The record is from RNAcentral.